Small nucleolar RNA from Solea solea (common sole), 132 nucleotides. RefSeq annotates it as small nucleolar RNA SNORA55. Lineage: Eukaryota; Metazoa; Chordata; Actinopteri; Pleuronectiformes; Soleidae. The record is from RefSeq and is a predicted model, not a curated record. The transcript has a single exon.
GCACCAUACAACUUUCCCGUCUGACCUGUUCAGUGUUUGACGCGGGCAUACGCUGGUGCCACAGUGACUCAAUGUAAAUCCAGAUGGACCUCCUCUUCCUGUGGAGCCUGUCUCUACAUCAUUGACACACAA